GAAGUGCCCAUCUUACGUUAUAAAAAUGUCAUUCUAUAUUUCUUUGUUCACGGACUUUUCCUUUCUGUCAUUUCAAAGUUAAAACCGUGUAAAGAAUAUAUAUGGUGCGCGCGCGCGAGAGAGAGCAGUUACGUCUGAAUCGUCCUUGAAUGUAAGUGGAGACAAGGCGCGAACCAGCAAGAAGAAUGCGGCGCACGCGGUAUAAAGGGACCUUAAAGGCUUCGAUACGCGAAUGGUCGCGCUCUGGCGAGCGAAUCGUGCAACAAUUAUCGGACAAUGACAUUUUAUCCACAUAUUACGUUGGAAAUGAGCGUAUAUCGAAAAAUGGAAUGAGAUAUACAGAUUGGCUAACAUCACACGUUACGACUCUAAAGUAUACAAAAUCGAUAGCGGCUAAGCAAUCCACUUAAUGGCAUUCCCUAAGCAGCCGCUGAACGUGAUAAAUCGAAGGCUGUGGACUAUUUAGAUACGCCGUAACGAUAUAUCGAACCGUUGCUACAACACUAGAUAGAAGACAGAUUAAACAGUAACGAAUAGCGUCUCGUUCUUACCUGCAAAAAAACUAGACGCUCUCUGUAUAAUCUACUUAAAUCUUCAAAAAUUUAUGUACUUUAAAUAAGAUGUUGAACCCUCGUAAAACAUAAAGCUCGUAAGGUGUCGAAUCAGCAAAAUACUUUAUCUCCAUAAGGAAAUCAAUUGUACACAUAUAUUCCGCUUUGAUAUACGACGAGGAAAAAAUAGAUUCUCGUUGCGCAGUCCUAGUCUUAAGUUCGCAUCGUUCUCGUCGUUUCAUUUGGACAAUACCGCAACAGCGCGAACAAAAAGUACAGCCCCGUGUUUUCGAGCGAUUAUCUGGGCGAGCUACUCGAAGAAAAGGAAGUCAGUUCAUCUGUCGUUGAGAGUAACGCCCACAUAAAAAACCCGAGGUACUAAGAGGUUUUUCCCCGGAUUACGUUAUCCAUUGAUAACAGAUGCUGUGUCAUACGCAUAAGCGCAUAAUAUCGGUACUUGUUCGUCGCAAGAUCAUCACGCGCGAUACUUAACGCGACGCGGGGGGAAAAGAAAUCAACAGAGUCCGGGUUGCAAGAGGUGAGGGGUGGAGUGAGUAGCGGAGUGAGUAGAAGAUGGAGGGGGUAGAGAGUCAUAAGAGUACGGGAACAAAUAGGUGACGUACGUUGGAUGGAGGUUGCUCAACUUGACAUCGCUUUCGUGACGUCAUACAAAAUCACUUUACCUCAAGACGAAACCAACUUCUCGUUGCUGUGUUCACACGAUGUCGAUGGCGAAGAAAUGAAGAAAG
This 1300-nucleotide unclassified non-coding RNA is filed under the name Bombus terrestris (buff-tailed bumblebee). RNAcentral describes it as "misc RNA ENSBTSG00005027583.1". The record is from RNAcentral. Lineage: Eukaryota; Metazoa; Arthropoda; Insecta; Hymenoptera; Apidae.